UCGAACGGUAGCACAGAGAGCUUGCUCUCGGGCGACGAGUGGCGGACGGGUGAGAAGCUGGGAAACUGCCUGAUGGAGGGGGAUAACUACUGGAAAGGNAGCCAAUACCGCAUAACGUCGCAAGACCAAAGAGGGGGACCUUCGGGCCUCUUGCCAUCAGAUGUGCCCAGAUGGGAUUAGUUAGUAGGUGGGGUAAUGGCUCACCUAGGCGACGAUCCCUAGCUGGUCUGAGAGGAUGACCAGCCACACUGGAACUGAGACACGGUCCAGACUCCUACGGGAGGCAGCAGUGGGGAAUAUUGCACAAUGGGCGCAAGCCUGAUGCAGCCAUGCCGCGUGUAUGAAGAAGGCCUUCGGGUUGUAAAGUACUUUCAGCGGGGAGAAAGGUGUUGUGGUUAAUAACCGCAGCAAUUGACGUUACCCGCAGAAGAAGCACCGGCUAACUCCGUGCCAGCAGCCGCGGUAAUACGGAGGGUGCAAGCGUUAAUCGGAAUUACUGGGCGUAAAGCGCACGCAGGCGGUCUGUCAAGUCGGAUGUGAAAUCCCCGGGCUCAACCUGGGAACUGCAUUCNAAACUGGCAGGCUAGAGUCUUGUAGAGGGGGGUAGAAUUCCAGGUGUAGCGGUGAAAUGCGUANAGAUCUGGAGGAAUACCGGUGGCGAAGGCGGCCCCCUGGACAAAGACUGAC
This 687-nucleotide ribosomal RNA is filed under the name uncultured Gammaproteobacteria bacterium. RNAcentral describes it as "bacterial SSU rRNA". It matches the Rfam family "Bacterial small subunit ribosomal RNA", at positions 62 to 744 of the family's 1533-position model. Lineage: Bacteria; Pseudomonadati; Pseudomonadota; Gammaproteobacteria. The record is from RNAcentral.